RNAcentral lists this ribosomal RNA (2932 nucleotides) under Escherichia coli. RNAcentral's name for it is "bacterial LSU rRNA". It matches the Rfam family "Bacterial large subunit ribosomal RNA". Lineage: Bacteria; Pseudomonadati; Pseudomonadota; Gammaproteobacteria; Enterobacterales; Enterobacteriaceae. The record is from RNAcentral.
GGGUUGUGAGGUUAAGCGACUAAGCGUACACGGUGGAUGCCCUGGCAGUCAGAGGCGAUGAAGGACGUGCUAAUCUGCGAUAAGCGUCGGUAAGGUGAUAUGAACCGUUAUAACCGGCGAUUUCCGAAUGGGGAAACCCAGUGUGUUUCGACACACUAUCAUUAACUGAAUCCAUAGGUUAAUGAGGCGAACCGGGGGAACUGAAACAUCUAAGUACCCCGAGGAAAAGAAAUCAACCGAGAUUCCCCCAGUAGCGGCGAGCGAACGGGGAGGAGCCCAGAGCCUGAAUCAGUGUGUGUGUUAGUGGAAGCGUCUGGAAAGGCGCGCGAUACAGGGUGACAGCCCCGUACACAAAAAUGCACAUGCUGUGAGCUCGAUGAGUAGGGCGGGACACGUGGUAUCCUGUCUGAAUAUGGGGGGACCAUCCUCCAAGGCUAAAUACUCCUGACUGACCGAUAGUGAACCAGUACCGUGAGGGAAAGGCGAAAAGAACCCCGGCGAGGGGAGUGAAAAAGAACCUGAAACCGUGUACGUACAAGCAGUGGGAGCACAGAGCAAUCUGUGUGACUGCGUACCUUUUGUAUAAUGGGUCAGCGACUUAUAUUCUGUAGCAAGGUUAACCGAAUAGGGGAGCCGAAGGGAAACCGAGUCUUAACUGGGCGUUAAGUUGCAGGGUAUAGACCCGAAACCCGGUGAUCUAGCCAUGGGCAGGUUGAAGGUUGGGUAACACUAACUGGAGGACCGAACCGACUAAUGUUGAAAAAUUAGCGGAUGACUUGUGGCUGGGGGUGAAAGGCCAAUCAAACCGGGAGAUAGCUGGUUCUCCCCGAAAGCUAUUUAGGUAGCGCCUCGUGAAUUCAUCUCCGGGGGUAGAGCACUGUUUCGGCAAGGGGGUCAUCCCGACUUACCAACCCGAUGCAAACUGCGAAUACCGGAGAAUGUUAUCACGGGAGACACACGGCGGGUGCUAACGUCCGUCGUGAAGAGGGAAACAACCCAGACCGCCAGCUAAGGUCCCAAAGUCAUGGUUAAGUGGGAAACGAUGUGGGAAGGCCCAGACAGCCAGGAUGUUGGCUUAGAAGCAGCCAUCAUUUAAAGAAAGCGUAAUAGCUCACUGGUCGAGUCGGCCUGCGCGGAAGAUGUAACGGGGCUAAACCAUGCACCGAAGCUGCGGCAGCGACGCUGAUGCGUUGUUGGGUAGGGGAGCGUUCUGUAAGCCUGUGAAGGUGUGCUGUGAGGCAUGCUGGAGGUAUCAGAAGUGCGAAUGCUGACAUAAGUAACGAUAAAGCGGGUGAAAAGCCCGCUCGCCGGAAGACCAAGGGUUCCUGUCCAACGUUAAUCGGGGCAGGGUGAGUCGACCCCUAAGGCGAGGCCGAAAGGCGUAGUCGAUGGGAAACAGGUUAAUAUUCCUGUACUUGGUGUUACUGCGAAGGGGGGACGGAGAAGGCUAUGUUGGCCGGGCGACGGUUGUCCCGGUUUAAGCGUGUAGGCUGGUUUUCCAGGCAAAUCCGGAAAACUAAGGCUGAGGCGUGAUGACGAGGCACUACGGUGCUGAAGCAACAAAUGCCCUGCUUCCAGGAAAAGCCUCUAAGCAUCAGGUAACAUCAAAUCGUACCCCAAACCGACACAGGUGGUCAGGUAGAGAAUACCAAGGCGCUUGAGAGAACUCGGGUGAAGGAACUAGGCAAAAUGGUGCCGUAACUUCGGGAGAAGGCACGCUGAUAUGUAGGUGAAGUCCCUCGCGGAUGGAGCUGAAAUCAGUCGAAGAUACCAGCUGGCUGCAACUGUUUAUUAAAAACACAGCACUGUGCAAACACGAAAGUGGACGUAUACGGUGUGACGCCUGCCCGGUGCCGGAAGGUUAAUUGAUGGGGUCAGCGCAAGCGAAGCUCUUGAUCGAAGCCCCGGUAAACGGCGGCCGUAACUAUAACGGUCCUAAGGUAGCGAAAUUCCUUGUCGGGUAAGUUCCGACCUGCACGAAUGGCGUAAUGAUGGCCAGGCUGUCUCCACCCGAGACUCAGUGAAAUUGAACUCGCUGUGAAGAUGCAGUGUACCCGCGGCAAGACGGAAAGACCCCGUGAACCUUUACUAUAGCUUGACACUGAACAUUGAGCCUUGAUGUGUAGGAUAGGUGGGAGGCUUUGAAGUGUGGACGCCAGUCUGCAUGGAGCCGACCUUGAAAUACCACCCUUUAAUGUUUGAUGUUCUAACGUUGACCCGUAAUCCGGGUUGCGGACAGUGUCUGGUGGGUAGUUUGACUGGGGCGGUCUCCUCCUAAAGAGUAACGGAGGAGCACGAAGGUUGGCUAAUCCUGGUCGGACAUCAGGAGGUUAGUGCAAUGGCAUAAGCCAGCUUGACUGCGAGCGUGACGGCGCGAGCAGGUGCGAAAGCAGGUCAUAGUGAUCCGGUGGUUCUGAAUGGAAGGGCCAUCGCUCAACGGAUAAAAGGUACUCCGGGGAUAACAGGCUGAUACCGCCCAAGAGUUCAUAUCGACGGCGGUGUUUGGCACCUCGAUGUCGGCUCAUCACAUCCUGGGGCUGAAGUAGGUCCCAAGGGUAUGGCUGUUCGCCAUUUAAAGUGGUACGCGAGCUGGGUUUAGAACGUCGUGAGACAGUUCGGUCCCUAUCUGCCGUGGGCGCUGGAGAACUGAGGGGGGCUGCUCCUAGUACGAGAGGACCGGAGUGGACGCAUCACUGGUGUUCGGGUUGUCAUGCCAAUGGCACUGCCCGGUAGCUAAAUGCGGAAGAGAUAAGUGCUGAAAGCAUCUAAGCACGAAACUUGCCCCGAGAUGAGUUCUCCCUGACUCCUUGAGAGUCCUGAAGGAACGUUGAAGACGACGACGUUGAUAGGCCGGGUGUGUAAGCGCAGCGAUGCGUUGAGCUAACCGGUACUAAUGAACCGUGAGGCUUAACCUUACAACGCCGAAGCUGUU